UCUGUUCGAUGACUCGUUUUUUUCUUUUGUCUCAGGUAGAAGCCUUCCUCCUCUCCCACUCGCACCACUGUCAUCACUAUCAACGGAUCCGUUCAGCUGCCUCAUCUUCCAUCACAGUCUUCUCAACUUGGUGCUCUUCUUUUUGUGAGAAUUAAAGCCACUGCUUGCUCUAGAAUCUUCAGUCUCCACCAACCCAGAAAGGGCUAUCUUAGCUUCCCUUGUGAUAUUUCCAUUUAGUUAUUUUACUUCUAUAUGCCUUCAACCAUUUAUCUUCAUGUUUUGUGAUGGCAAACUUAUCCUUGUCGUAGAUUUAUUGUGCUGAUUUUUAGCUUAGGUUAAUCUUCUUUUUAUAUGAAUGACUGCUUUCCUGGAGGUUUUC
Molecule: long non-coding RNA, 379 nt
Filed under: Carica papaya (papaya)
Lineage: Eukaryota; Viridiplantae; Streptophyta; Magnoliopsida; Brassicales; Caricaceae
Description: long non-coding RNA (CPAP_LNC004008)
Source: RNAcentral